UGAUCCGGUGGUUCUGAAUGGAAGGGCCAUCGCUCAACGGAUAAAAGGUACUCCGGGGAUAACAGGCUGAUACCGCCCAAGAGUUCAUAUCGACGGCGGUGUUUGGCACCUCGAUGUCGGCUCAUCACAUCCUGGGGCUGAAGUAGGUCCCAAGGGUAUGGCUGUUCGCCAUUUAAAGUGGUACGCGAGCUGGGUUUAGAACGUCGUGAGACAGUUCGGUCCCUAUCUGCCGUGGGCGUUGGAAGAUUGAGAGGGGCUGCUCCUAGUACGAGAGGACCGGAGUGGACGAAUCACUGGUGUUCGGGUUGUCAUGCCAAUGGCAUUGCCCGGUAGCUAAAUUCGGAAGAGAUAACCGCUGAAAGCAUCUAAGCGGGAAACUUGCCUCGAGAUGAGUCUUCCCUGGGACUUAAAGUCCCCUGAAGGAACGUUAAAGACUAUGACGUUGAUAGGCUGGGUGUGUAAGUGCAGCGAUGUAUUGAGCUAACCAGUACUAAUGAUCCGUGAGGCUUAACCUUACAACACCGAAGGUGUUU
Molecule: ribosomal RNA, 533 nt
Filed under: Yersinia pseudotuberculosis
Lineage: Bacteria; Pseudomonadati; Pseudomonadota; Gammaproteobacteria; Enterobacterales; Yersiniaceae
Description: bacterial LSU rRNA
Rfam family: Bacterial large subunit ribosomal RNA
Source: RNAcentral